Molecule: ribosomal RNA, 228 nt
Filed under: uncultured bacterium
Lineage: Bacteria
Description: partial 16S ribosomal RNA
Rfam family: Bacterial small subunit ribosomal RNA
Source: RNAcentral
UACGUAGGGUGCGAGCGUUAAUCGGAAUACUGGGCGUAAGCGUGCGCAGGCGGUUUUGUAAGCCAGAUGUGAAAGCCCCGGGCUUAACCUGGGAAUGGCAUUUGGGACUGCAAGGCUGGAGUUUGGCAGAGGAGACUGGAAUUCCUGGUGUAGCAGUGAAAUGCGUAGAUAUCAGGAGGAAUACCGAUGGCGAAGGCAGGUCUCUGGGGCUAUAACUGACGCUCAUGC